GACGAACGCUGGCGGCGUGCCUAAUACAUGCAAGUCGAACGAACUCUGGUAUUGAUUGGUGCUUGCAUCAUGAUUUACAUUUGAGUGAGUGGCGAACUGGUGAGUAACACGUGGGAAACCUGCCCAGAAGCGGGGGAUAACACCUGGAAACAGAUGCUAAUACCGCAUAACAACUUGGACCGCAUGGUCCGAGCUUGAAAGAUGGCUUCGGCUAUCACUUUUGGAUGGUCCCGCGGCGUAUUAGCUAGAUGGUGGGGUAACGGCUCACCAUGGCAAUGAUACGUAGCCGUCCUGAGAGGGUAAUCGGCCACAUUGGGACUGAGACACGGCCCAAACUCCUACGGGAGGCAGCAGUAGGGAAUCUUCCACAAUGGACGAAAGUCUGAUGGAGCAACGCCGCGUGAGUGAAGAAGGGUUUCGGCUCGUAAAACUCUGUUGUUAAAGAAGAACAUAUCUGAGAGUAACUGUUCAGGUAUUGACGGUAUUUAACCAGAAAGCCACGGCUAACUACGUGCCAGCAGCCGCGGUAAUACGUAGGUGGCAAGCGUUGUCCGGAUUUAUUGGGCGUAAAGCGAGCGCAGGCGGUUUUUUAAGUCUGAUGUGAAAGCCUUCGGCUCAACCGAAGAAGUGCAUCGGAAACUGGGAAACUUGAGUGCAGAAGAGGACAGUGGAACUCCAUGUGUAGCGGUGAAAUGCGUAGAUAUAUGGAAGAACACCAGUGGCGAAGGCGGCUGUCUGGUCUGUAACUGACGCUGAGGCUCGAAAGUAUGGGUAGCAAACAGGAUUAGAUACCCUGGUAGUCCAUACCGUAAACGAUGAAUGCUAAGUGUUGGAGGGUUUCCGCCCUUCAGUGCUGCAGCUAACGCAUUAAGCAUUCCGCCUGGGGAGUACGGCCGCAAGGCUGAAACUCAAAGGAAUUGACGGGGGCCCGCACAAGCGGUGGAGCAUGUGGUUUAAUUCGAAGCUACGCGAAGAACCUUACCAGGUCUUGACAUACUAUGCAAAUCUAAGAGAUUAGACGUUCCCUUCGGGGACAUGGAUACAGGUGGUGCAUGGUUGUCGUCAGCUCGUGUCGUGAGAUGUUGGGUUAAGUCCCGCAACGAGCGCAACCCUUAUUAUCAGUUGCCAGCAUUAAGUUGGGCACUCUGGUGAGACUGCCGGUGACAAACCGGAGGAAGGUGGGGAUGACGUCAAAUCAUCAUGCCCCUUAUGACCUGGGCUACACACGUGCUACAAUGGAUGGUACAACGAGUUGCGAACUCGCGAGAGUAAGCUAAUCUCUUAAAGCCAUUCUCAGUUCGGAUUGUAGGCUGCAACUCGCCUACAUGAAGUCGGAAUCGCUAGUAAUCGCGGAUCAGCAUGCCGCGGUGAAUACGUUCCCGGGCCUUGUACACACCGCCCGUCACACCAUGAGAGUUUGUAACACCCAAAGUCGGUGGGGUAACCUUUUAGGAACCAGCCGCCUAAGGUGGGACAGAUGAUUAGGGUGAAG
RNAcentral lists this ribosomal RNA (1492 nucleotides) under Lactiplantibacillus plantarum. Its description in RNAcentral is "partial 16S ribosomal RNA". It matches the Rfam family "Bacterial small subunit ribosomal RNA". The record is from RNAcentral. Lineage: Bacteria; Bacillati; Bacillota; Bacilli; Lactobacillales; Lactobacillaceae.